RNAcentral lists this ribosomal RNA (497 nucleotides) under uncultured bacterium. Its description in RNAcentral is "partial 16S ribosomal RNA". It matches the Rfam family "Bacterial small subunit ribosomal RNA", at positions 28 to 507 of the family's 1533-position model. The record is from RNAcentral.
GAUGAACGCUGGCGGCGUGCCUAAUACAUGCAAGUCGAGCGAACAGACGAGGAGUUUGCUCUUCUGACGUUAGCGUCGGACGGGUGAGUAACACGUGGAUAACCUACCUAUAAUACUGGCAUAAUUUCGGGAAACCGGAGCUAAUACCGUACAAUAUAUUGAACCGCAUGGUUCAAUAGUUAAGGUCGGUAUUGCUGUCCCUUAUUAAUGGAUCCGCGCCGCAUUAGCUUGUUCGUAAGGUACCGGCUGACCAAGGCAACGAUGCGUAGCCGACCUGAGAGGGUGGUAGGCCACACGGGAAAUGAGACACGGGCCCGACUCCUACGCGAGGUAGCAGAAGGGAAUCUACGGCAAUAGACGAUAGCCUGACACAGCAACGCAGCAAGAAUGAUCAAGGUCUAAGAAGCAGAAAACUAUGAGACUAAAGAGAAACAAAGGUGUAAGAAAAUAUGUGCUUCUUGACAAUACCUAAUCAGAAAGCAGCGGCUAACUGCAGG